This 253-nucleotide ribosomal RNA is filed under the name uncultured bacterium. RNAcentral describes it as "partial 16S ribosomal RNA". It matches the Rfam family "Bacterial small subunit ribosomal RNA", at positions 524 to 776 of the family's 1533-position model. The record is from RNAcentral.
UACGUAGGGUGCGAGCGUUAAUCGGAAUUACUGGGCGUAAAGCGUGCGUAGGCGGUUCGCUGUGUCCGAUGUGAAAGCCCCGGGCUUAACCUGGGAAUGGCAUUGGAAACUGGCGGGCUUGAGUGUGGCAGAGGGGGGUGGAAUUCCGCGUGUAGCAGUGAAAUGCGUAGAGAUGCGGAGGAACACCGAUGGCGAAGGCAGCCCCCUGGGCUAACACUGACGCUCAGGCGCGAAAGCGUGGGGAGCAAACAGG